GAUGAACGCUGGCGGUAUGCUUAACACAUGCAAGUCGAACGGUCUCUUCGGAGAUAGUGGCGGACGGGUGAGUAACGCGUGAGAAUCUGCCUUCAGGUGGGGGAUAACAGUUGGAAACGACUGCUAAUACCGCAUAUGUCGCAAGAUGAAAGAUUUAUUGCCUGAAGAUGAGCUCGCGUCCGAUUAGCUAGUUGGUGGGGUAAGAGCCUACCAAGGCAACGAUCGGUAGCUGGUUUGAGAGGACAACCAGCCACACUGGGACUGAGACACGGCCCAGACUCCUACGGGAGGCAGCAGUGGGGAAUUUUCCGCAAUGGGCGAAAGCCUGACGGAGCAAUACCGCGUGGGGGAUGAAGGUUUGUGGAUUGUAAACCCCUUUUCUCUAGGAAGAAGUUCUGACGGUACUAGAGGAAUCAGCAUCGGCUAACUCCG
This 432-nucleotide ribosomal RNA is filed under the name uncultured cyanobacterium. RNAcentral describes it as "bacterial SSU rRNA". It matches the Rfam family "Bacterial small subunit ribosomal RNA", at positions 28 to 505 of the family's 1533-position model. Lineage: Bacteria; Bacillati; Cyanobacteriota. The record is from RNAcentral.